Molecule: long non-coding RNA, 316 nt
Filed under: Elaeis guineensis (African oil palm)
Lineage: Eukaryota; Viridiplantae; Streptophyta; Magnoliopsida; Arecales; Arecaceae
Description: long non-coding RNA (EGUI_LNC043970)
Source: RNAcentral
UCCGUAAAGAAGUCUCGAGCUGACGCUAUAGAGAUUGCCUUAGGAGAAGCCAAGACCUCUCUAGAGGAUGCUAAGAAUUCCCUUAAGGGUUGCACAGCUUCAAAAGAGUGAGGUCGAGGCUACAUGCUUGCGGGAUUAGCUGGCAAAAAUCGAAAAGGCAAUACACCAAGCUAGAGAAGAGGCGACCCAAGUGAGGGAGGCCCAAUCUCAAUUAAUGGAAAAGGUUGCUGCUGCCAUGUGUCAUCUCAUUGAAGCUGCCACUACGGAUAUGGAGUCUUUCAAGAAGAGCAAGGACAUCCAUCAGGAGCUGUUAGUG